RNAcentral lists this ribosomal RNA (256 nucleotides) under uncultured bacterium. RNAcentral's name for it is "partial 16S ribosomal RNA". It matches the Rfam family "Bacterial small subunit ribosomal RNA", at positions 524 to 776 of the family's 1533-position model. The record is from RNAcentral.
UACGUAGGGAGCAAGCGUUGUCCGGAAUCAUUGGGCGUAAAGCGCGGUUGUAGGCGGCUCGAUAAGUCUGCUGUGAAAGUCCAGGGCUCAACCCCUGGGAUGCCGGUGGAUACUGUCGAGCUCGAGUCCGGAAGAGGCGAGUGGAAUUCCUGGUGUAGCGGUGAAAUGCGCAGAUAUCAGGAGGAACACCAAUGGCGAAGGCAGCUCGCUGGGACGUGACUGACGCUGAGACGCGAAAGCGUGGGGAGCAAACAGG